GAUGAACGCUGGCGGCGUGCCUAAUACAUGCAAGUCGAGCGAACAGACGAGGAGCUUGCUCCUCUGACGUUAGCGGCGGACGGGUGAGUAACACGUGGAUAACCUACCUAUAAGACUGGGAUAACUUCGGGAAACCGGAGCUAAUACCGGAUAAUAUAUUGAACCGCAUGGUUCAAUAGUGAAAGACGGUUUUGCUGUCACUUAUAGAUGGAUCCGCGCCGCAUUAGCUAGUUGGUAAGGUAACGGCUUACCAAGGCAACGAUGCGUAGCCGACCUGAGAGGGUGAUCGGCCACACUGGAACUGAGACACGGUCCAG
Molecule: ribosomal RNA, 317 nt
Filed under: uncultured bacterium
Lineage: Bacteria
Description: bacterial SSU rRNA
Rfam family: Bacterial small subunit ribosomal RNA
Source: RNAcentral